UGGCUCAGUUGGUAGAGCAUGGUGUUUGCAACGCCAAAGUUGUGGGUUUGAUUCCCAC
RNAcentral lists this transfer RNA (58 nucleotides) under Salmo salar (Atlantic salmon). It matches the Rfam family "tRNA", at positions 8 to 63 of the family's 71-position model. From Rfam's summary of the family: Transfer RNA (tRNA) molecules are approximately 80 nucleotides in length. Their secondary structure includes four short double-helical elements and three loops (D, anti-codon, and T loops). Lineage: Eukaryota; Metazoa; Chordata; Actinopteri; Salmoniformes; Salmonidae. The record is from Rfam by way of RNAcentral.